AGCAGCCGCGGUAAUUCCAGCUCCAAUAGCGUAUAUUAAAGUUGUUGCAGUUAAAAAGCUCGUAGUUGAAUUUCGAGAUCAAAUUGUUGGUCGUGCCUUGGUACGCACUGGCAUUAUUGGUUUCUCCCUUCUGACGAACCAUGAUGUCAUUAAUUUGGUGUCUUGGGGAAUCAGGACUGUUACUUUGAAAAAAUUUAGAGUGUUUAAAGCAGGCUCACGCUUGAAUACAUUAGCAUGGAAUAAUGAAAUAGGACGUUUGAUUCUAUUUUGUUGGUUUCUAGGAUCGACGUAAUGAUUAAUAGGGAUAGUUGGGGGCAUUAGUAUUCAAUUGUCAGAGGUGAAAUUCUUGGAUUUAUUGAAGACUAACUACUGCGAAAGCAUUUGCCAAGGAUGUUUUCAUUAAUCAAGAACGAAAGUUAGGGGAUCGAAGACGAUCAGAUACCGUCGUAGUCUUAACCAUGAACUAUGCCGACUAGGGAUCGGAUGAUGUUAAUUUUUUAAUGACUCAUUCGGCGCCUUA
This 520-nucleotide unclassified non-coding RNA is filed under the name uncultured Glomus. RNAcentral's name for it is "SSU rRNA". It matches the Rfam family "Eukaryotic small subunit ribosomal RNA", at positions 569 to 1090 of the family's 1831-position model. The record is from RNAcentral. Lineage: Eukaryota; Fungi; Glomeromycota; Glomeromycetes; Glomerales; Glomeraceae.